AUGCACGCUGGCGGCGUGCCUAAUCCAUGCAAGUCGCGCGAACAGACGAGGAGCUUGCUCCUCUGACGUUAGCGGCGGACGGGUGAGUAACACGUGGAUAACCUACCUAUAAGACUGGGAUAACUUCGGGAAACCGGAGCUAAUACCGGAUAAUAUAUUGAACCGCAUGGUUCAAUAGUGAAAGACGGUUUUGCUGUCACUUAUAGAUGGAUCCGCGCCGCAUUAGCUAGUUGGUAAGGUAACGGCUUACCAAGGCGACGAUGCGUAGCCGACCUGAGAGGGUGAUCGGCCACACUGGAACUGAGACACGGUCCAGACUCCUACGGGAGGCAGCAGUAGGGAAUCUUCCGCAAUGGGCGAAAGCCUGACGGAGCAACGCCGCGUGAGUGAUGAAGGUCUUCGGAUCGUAAAACUCUGUUAUUAGGGAAGAACAAAUGUGUAAGUAACUAUGCACGUCUUGACGGUACCUAAUCAGAAAGCCACGGCUAACUACGUG
RNAcentral lists this ribosomal RNA (496 nucleotides) under uncultured bacterium. Its description in RNAcentral is "partial 16S ribosomal RNA". It matches the Rfam family "Bacterial small subunit ribosomal RNA", at positions 29 to 507 of the family's 1533-position model. The record is from RNAcentral.